AAUCGCUAGUAAUCGCGGAUCAGCACACCGCGGUGAAUACGUUCCCGGGCCUUGUACACACCGCCCGUCACACCAUGGAAGUCUGCAAUGCCCGAAGCCGGUGGCCUAACCACUUAUGUGGAAGGAGCCGUCUAAGGCAGGGCAGAUGACUGGGGUGAAGUCGUAACAAGGUAAC
This 175-nucleotide ribosomal RNA is filed under the name uncultured bacterium. RNAcentral describes it as "partial 16S ribosomal RNA". It matches the Rfam family "Bacterial small subunit ribosomal RNA", at positions 1330 to 1500 of the family's 1533-position model. The record is from RNAcentral.